AGUGAACGCUGGCGGUAGGCCUAACACAUGCAAGUCGAACGGCAGCACAGGAGAGCUUGCUCUCUGGGUGGCGAGUGGCGGACGGGUGAGGAAUACAUCGGAAUCUACUUUUUCGUGGGGGAUAACGUAGGGAAACUUACGCUAAUACCGCAUACGACCUACGGGUGAAAGCAGGGGACCUUCGGGCCUCGCGCGAUUGAAUGAGCCGAUGUCGGAUUAGCUAGUUGGCGGGGUAAAGGCCCACCAAGGCGACGAUCCGUAGCUGGUCUGAGAGGAUGAUAAGCCACACUGGAACGGAGACACGGUCCAGACUCCUACGGGAGGCAGCAGUGGGGAAUAUUGGACAAUGGGCGCAAGCCUGAUCCAGCCAUACCGCGUGGGUGAAGAAGGCCUUCGGGUUGUAAAGCCCUUUUGUUGGGAAAGAAAUCCAGCUGGCUAAUACCCGGUUGGGAUGACGGUACCCAAAGAAUAAGCACCGGCUAACUUCGUGCCAGCCGCCGCCGUAA
This 506-nucleotide ribosomal RNA is filed under the name uncultured bacterium. RNAcentral's name for it is "partial 16S ribosomal RNA". It matches the Rfam family "Bacterial small subunit ribosomal RNA", at positions 29 to 523 of the family's 1533-position model. The record is from RNAcentral.